This 550-nucleotide ribosomal RNA is filed under the name Atheliaceae sp. kz33. RNAcentral describes it as "eukaryotic LSU rRNA". The stretch from base 140 to 294 matches the Rfam family "5.8S ribosomal RNA". The record is from RNAcentral. Lineage: Eukaryota; Fungi; Basidiomycota; Agaricomycetes; Atheliales; Atheliaceae.
GCYUUAAAKCCACAUANNYYUGUGAACCCAAUGUAAGGGCCCGUAACAAGGCCCCUACGUCUUUAUCAUCAACCCAUCGCANGNCUCAUAGAAUGUCAUUCAAUAUCUUCGCCUUAACAAAGCGUCGGUAAACUUAUACAACUUUCAACAACGGAUCUCUUGGCUCUCGCAUCGAUGAAGAACGCAGCGAAAUGCGAUAAGUAAUGUGAAUUGCAGAUUUUCAGUGAAUCAUCGAAUCUUUGAACGCACCUUGCGCCCCUUGGUAUUCCGAGGGGCAUGCCUGUUUGAGUGUCAUUAAAUUCUCAACUCCAUUUGAUUUGUUUCAAACCUGGAGCUUGGACUUGGAGUGUGCUGGCGUUGACCGUCGGCUCCUCUCAAAUGCAUCGGCGGAAUUGAACCUUUGACUUUCGAACGUCAGUGUGAUAAUCAACGUUGCGCUGUCGACCGGGGUCGGAGCCCGCUUACAAUCGUCCUCGGGACAACUUAUCAAAUUUGACCUCAAAUCAGGUAGGACUACCCGCUGAACUUAAGCAUAUCAAUAAGCGGAGGA